UGCUGCUUCUACCAUGCCUCCC
This 22-nucleotide non-coding RNA is filed under the name Rattus norvegicus (Norway rat). Lineage: Eukaryota; Metazoa; Chordata; Mammalia; Rodentia; Muridae. The record is from RNAcentral.